AAGAUGACGACGAACAAGAAGAAAAAGAAGCAGCAAAAGAAGAGAAGAAGAAGAAGAAGGAGGAGAGUAGAAAAAAUGGCUGACAGAAAGAAGAAGGAAAAAAGAAGAAGAAGAAGAAGAAGAGGAGGAAGAAGAAGAUGAAGAAGAAGAAGAAGAAGAGAAAAUGAUAUGAAACAAUAAAAAGGGACAAAGUAUGGAGUCGAGGAGAAAUCUAAAGCAGUAGAACAAACACUGAUCCUAAUCUACGUACAAAGAAAAAGAAGAGGGGACAUGGAAAUCGAAGAAAGACAAUCAAAAUAAGACAAUUGUUGCCAAGGUGAUGCGGACUUGAUUGCAGAACAUUAAUUAGGAUGCUGAUGGAAGGUAAAUCAAAUUUUAGAACAUGUCACUGCAUCUUACCAGUGCAACUGGCACACUAUUCAAACGGAAAGAAUUUUCAGUGAGAAACGAAGAGAUGAAAUUGAGAGGAAGGGUAUGGUUCGUCCCUCCAUGUGGCACUCAUCGUACAGCGCCACCGCUACCUGCAAGAGUUGAUGGUCAAUGGUGAUGUAAAACAUUUACUUUAGAAGGUUGUUUUUGAUGCAUUCAAUAAAAAUUUUGCUAAGGAAUGGGGCAUGGAAAAUGAUAUAAGAUCAAUACUGUUAUAUCAGGCCCUUUUACAUGAUACUGCGUGAAUGGAAUUGCUUCUAGCUAUGCAGCUUGAAGCAAACAUUUUCUACUUUAUUCUUUCCUGUCUUCAUGCUUUCUUUCCAGUACUAAUCUGAAGAGAAGAAGCAUCCAAGACCACGACAAAAAUAGGAAUGUGGAAAAGUCAAAGCUGCAUUACUGCUCUCAAUUGCUAGUUGAGAGGUUACUGAGGCUACUGAUAUGUUACAUAUAUGUAUUGAAUUUUACUGGGCCAGCACUUUUAAGUUGUUACUCUCUCACCUUAAAGUUGCGUGAAGCUAAAUUAUUCCUCCUUUGCUUAAUGAAGGCACAUACAUUCUUUUGUUGCCCCAAAUUGCGCUACUACUGUGUCUCUAUGCUCAAAUCUUGAUCCUCUUUUGGGGUUGUCUUUUUUAGUUCUUAGAGACUUUUUUACGGGUUCAGCUGAUUUUGUAAAGAUUUGUCUUCCAUGUAUUGGAAUAUUUUGCGGUUGGCGUGUUGUGACUUCUCUAAGCAUUUGUAUUUGUAUUCUUACUCUUUCACGUAUAUCAAAGUCGCUUUAUGUACAACGUAAAGAUGCAUGAAUUACAGUGGGCUUAAGUACAAUGGAUUUGUAAAUAACUGUGUGGGAAAUGAAUAAUGAAAUUGGUGAUAAGAAUUUUAUAGUGAUGUACAGUAGAACUGACAACAUGCACAACUUCAUUCUACUUGUUAGCAUUUGAACUGCCGUUACUCUAAUGUCAUAUAAAUAAAGAGGAAAAAUUAUAUCUUCGUGAAUUGAUAUAAACUUACCCCAGAUGACAGUUAAUUGGGUUCAUUUGUUUGCUUAUAUUUGAUGUAGUGUUACUUACUUCAAGCAUCUCCUUUUAAUGUAAAUGCUAAGCCACUUCAACUAUGGGCAUACAGAAAAUGGGAGAUGAAAUUAUUUAACAGGGAAUUCUACAGGCUAUAAUGAAUUAUUCAAUUGCAGGGAAAUACAACAAUGACUAAAGAAUUAUGUUGUUGAAUACUGCACUAAGAGUUGAGAACCUCGAAUUUUGAAGAUGGUUUCUAGGAAAGACAACUGCAGACAGGUAUAUUCUCAUUCUAUAACUUAGUAAUUUGAUUUCUCAAUCUGGUGUUCAUCUGCUAACAAUAAGGUGAUCAUGAUCCGUUCAUGUUUUACAUAAAUGGAGAGGCGAGGGAAAUCUUGCUUAGGAGUUAAUGAAGGUUGCUUGAAAUUGUUGUAACUUUAAUAUGAACUCAUCUACCUUAUUGUAAGCAGGACUUCGCAACAUAUUCAGAGGCAUGACAUGGUGAAGCAUUGGAUCACACUCAACAAACCUUAUACAUAUUUAUAGUACAAGGUUAUGAUCUCGACAGCCAGUCAUCGCAGGGAAAAAGAGUACACAUAUCUGUUAAUACACAUUUCCGGCUGCCUCAUUGAAAACCUUACCAGGAGGGACAAAACCUUGGUAAGACAAAAAGAGUGCAACGUGUAUUUUACUCCUCCUGAUUAAAGCAUUGCUUGAUCCUUGACGAUGAUGUAUUGUUAUCUUGAAUAUCAACUUAUUGUAUGUUGAGGUUGGCAGUACCUUUAUGAUCAAAUCUGUCAAAUCAUCAUUUGAACGA
This is a long non-coding RNA of Lycium barbarum (goji berry), 2256 nucleotides long. RefSeq lists it as uncharacterized. NCBI's taxonomy places the organism in Eukaryota, Viridiplantae, Streptophyta, Magnoliopsida, Solanales, Solanaceae. The record is from RefSeq and is a predicted model, not a curated record. The transcript is spliced from 4 exons.